This 4368-nucleotide long non-coding RNA is filed under the name Salvia miltiorrhiza (redroot sage). Its description in RNAcentral is "long non-coding RNA (SMIL_LNC005715)". The record is from RNAcentral. Lineage: Eukaryota; Viridiplantae; Streptophyta; Magnoliopsida; Lamiales; Lamiaceae.
AUAUAUGCAUAUUAUUACUAAUAUAAUGUUCUUAACAACUAGUCACUUUUUAGUGUUAAGUCCAAAAGAAUAACUAACACUACGAAGUUUUGGAUGCAUGAGUUGGAACUUGCAAAUGUUAGCCAAACACCAACUAGCUAGACGCUCCAUUUCUAGUUACUUUUAUUAUUGUUUCUGGCUACUGGGGACCUAACUUUCUAUUAAAAAUUGGAGAAUUAAGUUAGAGCUGAAUUAUAAAACCAAGCAUUCUAAUUAUGGUUCAAUAAUAUAUUUCUUCGAGAAAUUAUGCUAAAUGAAGCACGCCUAUUGUUAUUCAAACAAUCUGCUUAAUCUGUUAUAAAAACUACUAUUUUAUCCAAUGUUUUUUUAUACAACUAUAUAUAUAUUAAGUGUAGAUAUAUAUUGUAGAUAAUUAAAUUUAUCGUCGAAUCAUAUAGUUCCACAUAUAAAUUCAUGAUUAAAUAUUCAAUUAUAUUUUCUAUUUUGUUAAAAGAGAUGUUAUACUCCCUCCCAUUUUGUAUAAGAGUCAUUUUAGUCGUGUGCUGUAUAAAUAUUAAUGAAUAAAUUUUAUACCCAUCGUAACCUUAUUUAAUGAUAAUUUUCAUAUAUAAUAGUUAUAUGUGAUUAUUGAGCCAUCUUAACAAUCUUUUUUAAUAUUCAAAUUAUAACUCUUCGUUUUUAUCUCUGCGAGGAAAAUGAGCAAACUAAAAUAUGCUUUUUGUCAGGAAAUGAGCAAACUAAUGUAUUGCAACUAAAAUGUGAAAUGAGCAAACUAACUUUUGAUAUUCUUCUAAUGCUUAAUUUUGUCAGGAGCUAGCUUUCAUAUCAAUAAAAAAUAAUUGAUUUGUUAUUCAAAUUAAGGAACUUUGAAGAAGUUUGAUAGGAAAAAGUAGAAAUAAGAGUUUGAAAUGGAGAGAAGGAGGGUUCAUCAAAUAUUGUGAGGAAGAGGAAGAAAUGAAAGAUAUUAAUGAUAGAGUUAAUUAAUGAAGUUAAAUUUGGAACAUAUAUCUUAAACUAUAUAUAAAAAGAAAUUAAUGAAGAACACUAAAAUGAUUUAUAUAAAAAAUGGGAGGGAGUAAUUAGUAUUUAAUACUCCCUCCGUCCAUGAAAGAACUUCUUAGGAGGGAGUAACACGAGUUUUAAGAAAGAAUAUUGUUGAGUGUAUUGAGAGUGGAUAAAAGGUAGUUGAGUGUAUUGAGAGUGGUGAAAAGGUGUUAUAAUUAAUAUCGGGAGUUGUGAAAAGUGAAAAGUAAGAGGAUUAUAAGUGGUGGUGUAUAGUCCAAAAAUAGGUAGGAAGUUCUUUUGUGGACGUCCCAAAAAGAAAAGAUAAGAAGUUCUUUCGUGGACGGAGGGAGUAUAAAUUAUUUUAUUUGUCCAUUAUUACCACCUAAACCCUAAAGCCCAUUAUAUAUAGGUACAAAGCCCAUCUCCCUACAUCUUUAAAUAGGGGUGUUGGGGUAGGCAUAAGAGCAUCUCCAAUGGGGGGCAAUAUAAGGUGGUCCCCACCUUAGAGUUACCUCUUUAGUGCAUUGAUUCUACAAGGGGCUCUAUAAUAUUCAUUUCCAUUUUAUCCCAUUUUUUUUACUCUUCAAUUUUAAAAUUCAAUAUUUCAUUAAAAUUAAAUUCCAACAUUACAUUAAUUAUAAUAAAAUAAUACACUUAAAAUAAAAUAAAAUAAUUUAAAUUAUAAUAAUUUAAUUAUGGCUCAAUUCGGACCAAAACGAGCCCAAAUAUGCUCCUUCACAUAUGAGGUGAGGCGAUCGUAAAGGUCGCGAUCUCGCAUGGAGGAUUGUCGAGUCAAAUACGCUCAAAAAUUUUCGACGGAGCUCCGAUGUGAGUACGAGAUGUUGCUGAGCUACUUGAAGCCUCGUCGGUGUAAAGCUAGGUCUGCCAAGUACGUCUGGGCAUUGUUGAAAGUAAAGAUCAUACUGAACAAUAUUGACGAUGCGCCAAAACAAGGGGUGGCGCAUACGAAAACGGUGCCGGAACAACGAAUUGGUGUUGACAAGAUUUGGGGCAAAAUAAUCCUCGUAAAGUCGUUGUGUGCUGGCUUCACAAUCCCGACGAAUGUAAGCUUUCUUCAUUUGUCUCCUUCGUUUAGGGGUAGCUUUCAUAAAAAUUGCGACACAAGUUGAGCGAAUUGGACAGUGUGUUGCUCGUCGGAGCUUGAGUCGGAGGAAGAUUGAGAAGAUGAUGAUGACAUUUUGCUAGAAAGAAGAAGAUUGUACGAAGAUUGAGAAGAAAAAUAGUGUGUGAAAUGAAGUAGAAAUUAAGUGAUAUUUAUAAAAGGAAAAAAGAGAGGCAAAAGUGUCGUUCAACGACCAUCUGCCAAAAUAAUAAUAAUAAUAAUAAUUAUUAUUAUUAUUAUUAUUAUUACUCCUUCCGUCCCAGUAAUCUUGACACAUUUAGUUUCGACACGGGAAUUAAGGAGUUGUAGAUUANUCACUAUUGCUAAUUAAAUCAUUAACUUUUUCUAAUUUAUAAAUUCAAUUUGACUUUUAAAACACAUAGCAAAAAAUAAGUAAUCAAUCUUUUAAUUUUUGCAAUUAAAAUUCCUUUAAUUAAUGUUUUUGGCCAUAUAAAACGCUUUAUAGGGGAAAGGUUCUACCCCGGUGCUAUGUUUCAUAUAGUGAAUAUUGGUUCCGAUUUUCUUACUCUUGUGGGGAAAAAAAUUAUCUAACCGCAAAUGUAGGUUGUCUGUCAUUGCAAUACUACUGUAUUGUCAGACUUAUUAGUCGUUAGGCCCGAAAUGACAAUUUAAUAUAUACAAAGUGAAUAUACGUUACCACUGUAUUUUAGAUGGAGCCAUACAUAGAGGGUCCAACCCAAUUCUUAAAUUGCAUCAUUAAUUAUAUGCCAAACGCCCCACCAUUUUUUUCUGCAAUAGUUUUUCAAUAGUUAAAAUUUUUGUCUGCAAUAGUUAAUAAGUAUUUAUUUUCAAUAUGUUAUAUAUAUGCAUAUUAUUACUAAUAUAAUGUUCUUAACAACUAGUCACUUUUUAGUGUUAAGUCCAAAAGAAUAACUAACACUACGAAGUUUUGGAUGCAUGAGUUGGAACUUGCAAAUGUUAGCCAAACACCAACUAGCUAGACGCUCCAUUUCUAGUUACUUUUAUUAUUGUUUCUGGCUACUGGGGACCUAACUUUCUAUUAAAAAUUGGAGAAUUAAGUUAGAGCUGAAUUAUAAAACCAAGCAUUCUAAUUAUGGUUCAAUAAUAUAUUUCUUCGAGAAAUUAUGCUAAAUGAAGCACGCCUAUUGUUAUUCUAAACAAUCUGCUUAAUCUGUUAUAAAAACUACUAUUUUAUCCAAUGUUUUUUUAUACAACUAUAUAUAUAUUAAGUGUAGAUAUAUAUUGUAGAUAAUUAAAUUUAUCGUCGAAUCAUAUAGUUCCACAUAUAAAUUCAUGAUUAAAUAUUCAAUUAUAUUUUCUAUUUUGUUAAAAGAGAUGUUAUACUCCCUCCCAUUUUGUAUAAGAGUCAUUUUAGUCGUGUGCUGUAUAAAUAUUAAUGAAUAAAUUUUAUACCCAUCGUAACCUUAUUUAAUGAUAAUUUUCAUAUAUAAUAGUUAUAUGUGAUUAUUGAGCCAUCUUAACAAUCUUUUUUAAUAUUCAAAUUAUAACUCUUCGUUUUUAUCUCUGCGAGGAAAAUGAGCAAACUAAAAUAUGCUUUUUGUCAGGAAAUGAGCAAACUAAUGUAUUGCAACUAAAAUGUGAAAUGAGCAAACUAACUUUUGAUAUUCUUCUAAUGCUUAAUUUUGUCAGGAGCUAGCUUUCAUAUCAAUAAAAAAUAAUUGAUUUGUUAUUCAAAUUAAGGAACUUUGAAGAAGUUUGAUAGGAAAAAGUAAGAAAUAAGAGUUUGAAAUGGAGAGAAGGAGGGUUCAUCAAAUAUUGUGAGGAAGAGGAAGAAAUGAAAGAUAUUAAUGAUAGAGUUAAUUAAUGAAGUUAAAUUUGGAACAUAUAUCUUAAACUAUAUAUAAAAAGAAAUUAAUGAAGAACACUAAAAUGAUUUAUAUAAAAAAUGGGAGGGAGUAAUUAGUAUUUAAUACUCCCUCCGUCCAUGAAAGAACUUCUUAGGAGGGAGUAACACGAGUUUUAAGAAAGAAUAUUGUUGAGUGUAUUGAGAGUGGAUAAAAGGUAGUUGAGUGUAUUGAGAGUGGUGAAAAGGUGUUAUAAUUAAUAUCGGGAGUUGUGAAAAGUGAAAAGUAAGAGGAUUAUAAGUGGUGGUGUAUAGUCCAAAAAUAGGUAGGAAGUUCUUUUGUGGACGUCCCAAAAAGAAAAGAUAAGAAGUUCUUUCGUGGACGGAGGGAGUAUAAAUUAUUUUAUUUGUCCAUUAUUACCACCUAAACCCUAAAGCCCAUUAUAUAUAGGUC